AUCUUCAGGGCAGGGUGUGAUUCCCGACCGGCGGUAAAGUCCGCGAGCCGAAAGGCAGAACCGUUGCAACUACGGUACCGACAGUAAAAGUCUGGAUGGAAGAAGAA
Molecule: non-coding RNA, 107 nt
Filed under: human gut metagenome
Also listed under: 1 other name
Description: FMN riboswitch (RFN element)
Rfam family: FMN riboswitch aptamer (RFN element)
About the family: The RFN element is a highly conserved domain that is found frequently in the 5'-untranslated regions of prokaryotic mRNAs that encode for flavin mononucleotide (FMN) biosynthesis and transport proteins.
Source: RNAcentral